AUUUAAAUAAUCAAUUUUCAAAUUUCACUUUUUUUCUUCCAUGCUCAAAUCACAGUAGAUAAAAAAUCACAAGAAAAAUUUAAAAAUUCCAUAAACACAAUAUUGAUCUUAACAACAACAAAAUUUCAUUAACAAAAAUUGAAAAGCAAAAUUUACAUUUUAACUAUAAAUCACAAUAUGACGAAAUCGUAGCAAAUGAAUUGGAAAAUAGAGGAGACGUUCCAGUGCCAGUUGUUGACGAUCGAUUGUGAGCAUCCAUGCCCCUGAGCCCAAUCUUUCAAUGUUUGGCAGCCACUCAUCUGAACACAACCCAUCGAUCAAGAUGAGGCAGCAGGACGACAGACGGGUAGGUCCUUCUCAAAAAAUGGUGCAGCUCUUAGAAUAGGAUUGCUCUCGAAGAAAUUGACAGGCUUUAAAUCAAAGCUCGAUGACACAAUUGGCAUUACAGGGAAAUCCUCCUGGCACGGAAUGUGAUGGAAUCCCAUGGUGUACCAUAACACAAUGUCUUUAUUCUCAAUAUUUCGAUUCCUCUGAGACCACACAGCAAUUGUGUCAUCUCCCUUGCUUUGAUACACUAGAAGUCCACCAGCCCAUUGUUCGGUUCGGUUAUAGGGGGUCACCCAUAUCUGAUUGUUUGUGAAAGCACUUCUUUUUUGUGGAGGAUCAAGGUGAUCAAGCAAGCUAGCUGCAGUCGCACCGGGAACAAUCUUAUACCCUGCAGGAUUUCCCAACCUAGACCGCCUUGAAGGGUUGAUUACAUGAAACUCUGAAGGGUCAUAGAGCUUAAGCUUAAUUCUUGCAUCUUCCUCUGUUUUAGCUGUCUCUCUCUUUGCUUUUAAGUAGCUUUUUCUGGGUGAUUCACCUGGCAAAGUCUCUUCCUUAACUAAAUGAACCUUAACAAGUGUGUUAUUAGUGUCAUCAAUAUCCAUGUCCAGGUGGUAAGUGAUGAAAUGAUCGUGAACAACACCGAUAACGUUUUCAGAGACUAAAGGGCUCGACAUUUCUUCUUGGUUGGGUAUUUGAUACACAUUUUGAUAAGUUGUCCCUUUCACCAUUAGCAUCCCUGAAAGAGACACCUUAAUGCGAAUCAAACCAUCAGUUUGAAAUUCCCAAUCAAAAAUGUAAUCAUAGUUUCCUACUGAUGCUGCCAUUCGAGCCACUAGUGUCACUUUAGCUCUUGCUUCUUUAAUCUCAAAACCAUUAACAGGGAUCUCCGAAUGACGCCAACCGAUAUCUCCAGCAUAACGUUCGAACACACAAAUCAUAUUGGGUUGAACAUAUGGCUUCCCAUCAGAAGACACAAAAAUUCCAUCCACAUAGUGUGCGUACCUCGGGCAAUCAUUUAGUGGCAUAAGUGACAUCGCUGUUGCCCCCAGACCAAACUCACCGGCAUCCAUGUAUGAUUUAAAAUACCAGUUCUCAUCUGGGUCCAUGUAAGGCACAAACAACUCGGAAGAGAACCCUUUGUACAUCACACUCCUUAGCACCCCAGUCUCCGAGUCCCUAACCAUAGCUCGGGAAAUGAUCAUGCCAGCUCGUUGGUCAGCCUUCAGGUGGAAAAUCCAAUUUGCCCAUUUAACCAUGUGUCGAUUUUCUAUACUAAAGCUUGGACCUUUCGGUUGUUCUAUUGAUAUUGGGUUUAUUGGCUCCAUUUCUAGUGGCUUGUCUUGUGCUGUGUAUCUGUAAUCUGUGUUAGUGGCUUUUGGAACUGGAAUUCCUCUCCCCUUGUCAAGAAAUUCCACCACCUCUUUCUUGUCGAGGUCCACGGUUAUUGUUAGCCCUUCAAGUGGCCUCAUAUAGAAAUUGACUGUGCCCUGGCUAGAGAAGCACUGGACCUUAGUAACCCUUCUCCCUUCCUCAUCAGGCCCAAACCAACCCGGUGACGGUGUGAUGCAAGUCAAUUCCGAUAAGGGAACCCCUCUUGCGAUGGCAGAUUGGUUCAACUCUUGGUGAGAUAGUGCCACCUGGAUUGCGGCAGAAAGGUCAUCCAUAGACACCAUAGGGUACCCCGACCAAGGAUUGAUUUCAUGGCUUGUGACUUGGCCCAACUCCAAAUCAACUGUAAGCACAUGAGAUUGCCCAUUCAAUAGCACAAUUACAAGUGCUUUCCUAGGAGGAAGAGGGUCGCCUUGUUUCCACCACAAGACCCGGUGCUUGUCAGGUUCACCAAGUGAUAAAUAGUGAAUAGGUGGGAAGCAAGACAAAAAGGGCUCAUAGGAUGAGAGGAUGGUUCUGACCUUGUUGAUUUCUUGUAUGGUAAGUGGGUCUAGUGGGUGGUGAGGGGUUUCCCCUGUGUGGUCGUUGGGCUUGUGGAUCUGGGUCUCCAAAACCAAGUCCAAGUUGGAGUGAAUUCGAUUCUUGGAGGUGCACCAUAGCUGGAAAUCUAGUUUGUUUGGAAGGUACCAGAAAUAUGCAAAAAUGAAUAGAACUACGAACAAGAUGAAGGUGAAAUGAGCAUAUGAAGCAGUUUCCAUUCUUUUACAAAAAGAGAGAAGAACGAGACAGCAAAG
RNAcentral lists this unclassified non-coding RNA (2510 nucleotides) under Hevea brasiliensis (rubber tree). Lineage: Eukaryota; Viridiplantae; Streptophyta; Magnoliopsida; Malpighiales; Euphorbiaceae. The record is from RNAcentral.